CUACGGGGGGCACCAGGCGAGAAAACUUUGCAAUGUGCGAAAGCACGACAAGGUUAAUCCGAGUGGUUUCUGCUAAAGGAACCUUUUGUCGGUCCUAGAAACACCGAUGAAUAAGGGGUGGGCAAGUUCUGGUGUCAGCCGCCGCGGUAAAACCAGCACCUCAAGUGGUCAGGAUGAUUAUUGGGCCUAAAGCAUCCGUAGCCGGCUCUGUAAGUUUUCGGUUAAAUCUGUAUGCUCAACAUACAGGCUGCCGGGAAUACUGCAUAGCUAGGGAGUGGGAGAGGUAGACGGUACUCGGUAGGAAGGGGUAAAAUCCUUUGAUCUAUUGAUGACCACCUGUGGCGAAGGCGGUCUACCAGAACACGUCCGACGGUGAGGGAUGAAAGCUGGGGGAGCAAACCGGAUUAGAUACCCCGGUAGUC
This 422-nucleotide ribosomal RNA is filed under the name uncultured archaeon. Its description in RNAcentral is "partial 16S ribosomal RNA". It matches the Rfam family "Archaeal small subunit ribosomal RNA", at positions 323 to 746 of the family's 1478-position model. The record is from RNAcentral.